AAUAGAUACCCCGGUAGUCCUGGCUGUAAACGAUGUCGACUAGAUCGUGGCGGCUCUGACGCUGUCACGGUCGAAGCAAAAGUGCUAAGUCGACCGCCUGGGAAGUACGGUCGCAAGGCUAAAACUCAAAGGAAUUGACGGGGGCUCACACAAGCGGUGGAGCAUGUGGUUCAAUUCGAAGCAACGCGCAGAACCUUACCUGGGCUUGACAUGCUAGGAUUAUCUUGGUGAAAGCCGAGUAGGCCCUUCGGGGUACAACUAGUACAGGUGCUGCAUGGCUGUCGUCAGCUCGUGUCGUGAGAUGUCGGGUUAAGUCCCUUAACGAGCGAAACCUUUGCCCUUAGUUACCAUCGGGUUAUGCCGGGGACUCUAAGGGGACUGCCGGUGUCAAACCGGAGGAAGGUGGAGAUGACGUCAAGUCAUCAUGCCCCUUAUGUCCAGGGCUACACACGUGCUACAUUGGCGCGUACAGAGGGCUGCGAUGCCGCGAGGCGGAGCGAAUCCCUUAAAGCGCGUCUCGGUUCGGAUUGC
This 531-nucleotide ribosomal RNA is filed under the name uncultured bacterium. RNAcentral's name for it is "bacterial SSU rRNA". It matches the Rfam family "Bacterial small subunit ribosomal RNA", at positions 777 to 1301 of the family's 1533-position model. The record is from RNAcentral.